RNAcentral lists this ribosomal RNA (252 nucleotides) under uncultured bacterium. Its description in RNAcentral is "partial 16S ribosomal RNA". It matches the Rfam family "Bacterial small subunit ribosomal RNA", at positions 524 to 776 of the family's 1533-position model. The record is from RNAcentral.
UACGAAGGGGGCUAGCGUUGUUCGGAAUCACUGGGCGUAAAGGGCGCGUAGGCGGCUUGAUAAGUCAGGGGUGAAAUCCUGGAGCUCAACUCCAGAACUGCCUUUGAUACUGGUAGCUCGAGUCCGGGAGAGGUGAGUGGAACUGCGAGUGUAGAGGUGAAAUUCGUAGAUAUUCGCAAGAACACCAGUGGCGAAGGCGGCUCACUGGCCCGGUACUGACGCUGAGGUGCGAAAGCGUGGGGAGCAAACAGG